ACUUUGGAUUAGUAAUUUUGCUGAAUUUAGGAUUAGUUAAGAUACAAGAAUUAAAUUAUAAAAGAGGUAAAAGUUCGAUUAUUAUGAAAUUUUAUUAAUUAGAGAUGAAACAAGGACUAAAGUGGGAAUUAUACCACUUUAGAAAUAAUAAUGGACGGUAAAUAGGUGUUUUCAUCAUAAUUCGGUUUAAAAAUUUAAAGAAAUAAUAAAUAAAAAUAAUGGAAAGUGGGGGAGCUGGUGGACAGAAAAAACAAAGGAAAUAUUUUUUUUUUCUACCAUGGGAGAUACGACUAGUGUGAAAGUACUAAAGGGAGAUACGACUGUAUGGGGGUGGAAAGGAAGGAAUGAAGUUGCUCAAGUGGAAGUCUGAAGCUUGCUAGCAAAAAGGUGGAAGGACCAAACGGCAAAAGGGAAAUAUAAACUAGUGUGGGAAAAAUAUUUUGGUGAGAUCCCUAACUCCAAACUUUGAAAUUUCUAUUUAUUAUAAUGAUCUAUUGUGCUUGCUUUGGUUGAAAUUUGUUGGAGCUGCACUUAGGAUUUCGGUUAAUAAAAAGAAAUAAGAUAAUGUGGUAAGUUUCCCUUGAAUUGUACACACUUACUCAUUUAGUUAAUUUCCAAGUUGAAUUAAACUAGUUGGUGACUUCAAUUAAGUUGUCUGAAUUUUAUGAACAAAUUGUCAAUUAGCUGCUGUUGAUUUUUGGUUAGAAGCAAGUAAAACAUGUUGGAAAUUUGAAGAAAUGGUUGUCUAAAAUGGCUGUUGUUGGAUUAUGAGUUUAAUUCAUUUCUUUCUUGAAUGGUUGAUUGGUUAUACUCUUAUGCUGGUAAGUGUGAUGAACAUUGAGGGAAAAGUCUUGAUGAUUGUUAGUUAUUAAGUGAGCUGCCGUGACAUGCAAACCCUAUGUAUGUUGUCUGAAUAUGACUUAUUGUUAUGAAAUUAAGAUGUCCUGCUGCUGGAAUUGAUUAAAUAUUAAUGUCCUAAGCUGUCAUAACUACAAUUAAGAUGUUCUGCGAUUGGAAUUGAAUAAAAAAAUUAAUAUCCUAAGCUACAAUUAAAAGAUUUCAUAGUUAAAAUUAAGAUGUCGUACUUUUAUAUUGUGAUUAAAAUGUAAGUUCUUAUGUUGUCUUAAAAUAUUAUUUGAAGCGGAUUAAUUACCCUAAACUAAACGAUUUUAAUAAUGAAAUUAUGAUAUAUUAAAGCGGCAAUUUGAGAGGAGUUUAUAAUUAUAAUUUAUUGUGCUUUGAUGCUGUGAUUAAAAUGUUUAACUUCGGCUUUGAUAUUUAUAAUGUGUCGCUAAUAUGUAAAUUGAGUUUUAUCUUGCUAAUGAAAUUGAGUGUCGCUCCGAGUAGGUUUUCUUGAAAUUUUUGUUUACAUGCUAGGUAAGUUGAUCAUUCUUCUAAUAGAUUCGGCUGGAAAUUUCUUGAUCAUUUCUUUAAAUUUGAAAUUGAUGGUAUACAAUGCUGCCAAAUGUUGAAUUAUCAUGCUAUCCUAUUUGGUUUUGAAAGCUGUUGUCGGUUGGUAAUUAAGCAAGCCGUAGGCAGUUUUAUUGAAUUAAUAAUGCCCAAUUGAUAUAUGUUUAAGCAAUUUGGUUACUAUAUUUGUAAGGUUGGUUUAUUUGGGAUGGGUGGUUUGUUAAUGCUAUUUGAAGUUUAAAAUGUUAAAAUCGAUGAUAGUUACAUUAAUAUGUUGAUUCGACUAUUAUGACGAAAAUGUUGUCCAAUUUUUUAAACACUUUUAAAUGUGGUAUUGACCGUUAAAUAUUUUUAUUUAAUAUCGUUAAUGUUGUACGAAUGGAAUUACUAGAAAAAAAAUUGAAUUGAUCUUUUGAAGGCAAUAAAAUGAUGUCUAGAAUGAAUGUUUUUGCAGCUCGGUUUGUACAUGAUGACACUGUCCAAAUUGAUAUUUAGAACAAUUCAUUACGUGUGCCAUAAGGUUGUUUGAAACGAAGUUUGUUGCCACUAAAUUAUCUUGUAAGUGAUAUCAAGUGAGCAGGAAUAAAUUGAUGUUAUAAUAGAAAUGUCAUCUAAAUGAAUGUAAGUCUAGGAUGUUGAUAAAUUUUAUUAAAAUUUUAUUUAUAUUUGUUAUAUGGAAUGGGUUACAAAUAUCAAUUGUAUACAAUAGAGCAUGUACUUAAAAUAAUAUUGUAUUUAUAUUAGGCUAAGUUAAUCAAUAUCGUAUGCUUAAAUUGUUUUAUUUAGGAUAAAAUUUGGAUUGUUUUUCUUUGUGUGUAGGUUAAUUUAACUUUUGAAAUUAUUUUUGGGUUUUUACCUCAGCAUCUCAUUUACAAUCUCGGUCUCAGUAAUU
RNAcentral lists this long non-coding RNA (2302 nucleotides) under Gossypium barbadense (sea-island cotton). RNAcentral's name for it is "long non-coding RNA (GBAR_LNC005290)". The record is from RNAcentral. Lineage: Eukaryota; Viridiplantae; Streptophyta; Magnoliopsida; Malvales; Malvaceae.